Non-coding RNA from Ceratotherium simum simum (southern white rhinoceros), 143 nucleotides. Lineage: Eukaryota; Metazoa; Chordata; Mammalia; Perissodactyla; Rhinocerotidae. The record is from RefSeq and is a predicted model, not a curated record.
UUAUUAUUAAAGUUGUCAACCUACAAAAACAGAAACCAGUUUAAGAGGCAGAGCGCUUAUUUAGGAUCAAAGAAUUGAAAUUCUGGGAGCAUAGAUUCAGGUAGAAACUCAGAUAGCAUCCCGAUUACAGGAGAGGGACUUAG